UAGGGAAUCUUCCGCAAUGUGCGAAAGCCUGACGGAGCAACGCCGCGUGAGUGAUGAAGGUCUUCGGAUCGUAAAACUCUGUUAUUAGGGAAGAACAAAUGUGUAAGUAACUAUGCACGUCUUAACGGUACCUAAUCAGAAAGCCACGGCUAACUACGUGCCAGCAGCCGCGGUAAUACGUAGGUGGCAAGCGUUAUCCGGAAUUAUUGGGCGUAAAGCGCGCGUAGGCGGUUUUUUAAGUCUGAUGUGAAAGCCCACGGCUCAACCGUGGAGGGUCAUUGGAAACUGGAAAACUUGAGUGCAGAAGAGGAAAGUGGAAUUCCAUGUGUAGCGGUGAAAUGCGCAGAGAUAUGGAGGAAGACCAGUGGCGAAGGCGACUUUCUGGUCUGUAACUGACGCUGAUGUGCGAAAGCGUGGGGAUCAAACAGG
This 429-nucleotide ribosomal RNA is filed under the name Actinomycetes bacterium. RNAcentral's name for it is "Actinobacteria bacterium partial 16S ribosomal RNA". It matches the Rfam family "Bacterial small subunit ribosomal RNA", at positions 355 to 776 of the family's 1533-position model. Lineage: Bacteria; Bacillati; Actinomycetota; Actinomycetes. The record is from RNAcentral.